GGGAGCUUGCUCCCUGGCGGCGAGUGGCGAACGGGUGAGUAAUGCAUGGGAACAUGCCCAAUGGUGGGGAAUAUCCUAAGGAAACUUAGGGUAAUUCCGCAUAAUCUCCACGGAGCAAAGCGGGGGAUCUUCGGACCUCGCGCCGAUGGAUUGGCCCAUGUCCGAUUAGUUUGUUGGUGGGGUAACGGCCUACCAAGACCGCGAUCGGUAGCUGGUUUUAGCGAAUGAUCAGCCACACCGGGACUGAGACACGGCCCGGACACCUACGGGUGGCAGCAGUGGGGAAUAUUUGACAAUGGGGGAAACCCUGAUCAAGCGAUGCCGCGUGAUUGAAGAAGGCCUUCGGGUUGUAAAGAUCUUUCAUUGAGGAGGAAAAAGCCGACCCUAACAGGAACGGCCCAUGACAUUACUCAAAGAAGAAGGACCGGCUAACUACGUGCCAGCAGCCGCGGUAAUACGUAGGGUCCGAGCGUUAAUCGGAAUUACUGGGCGUAAAGCGUGCGUAGGCGGCCGCCUAAGUCGGAUGUGAAAGCCCCGGGCUCAACCUGGGAACUGCGUUCGAUACUGGGCGGCUUGAGACCGACAGAGGAAAGUAGAAUUCUCGCAAGUAGUGGUGAAAUGCGUAGAUAUGCGGAGGAAUACUCGUGGCGAAGGCGGCUUUCUGGGCCGUGUCUGACGCUGUAGCACGAAAGCGUGGGUAGCAAACAGGAUUAGAUACCCUGGUAGUCCACGCCGUAAACGAUGUCUGCUAGUCGUUGGGAGGUUCGCCUCGCAGUGACGAAGCUAACGCGUGAAGCAGACCGCCUGGGGAGUACGAUCGCAAGAUUAAAACUCAAAGGAAUUGACGGGGACCCGCACAAGCGGUGGAUGAUGUUGAUUAAUUCGAUGCAACGCGAAAAACCUUACCUACCCUUGACAUGCUAUGGAAAGUCCGCGGAAACGCGGCCGUCUU
This 952-nucleotide ribosomal RNA is filed under the name uncultured sponge bacterium. Its description in RNAcentral is "bacterial SSU rRNA". It matches the Rfam family "Bacterial small subunit ribosomal RNA", at positions 74 to 1018 of the family's 1533-position model. The record is from RNAcentral.